GACGAACGCUGGCGGCGUGCUUAACACAUGCAAGUCGAACGGAAAGGCCCUGCUUUUGUGGGGUGCUCGAGUGGCGAACGGGUGAGUAACACGUGAGUAACCUGCCCUUGACUUUGGGAUAACUUCAGGAAACUGGGGCUAAUACCGGAUAGGAGCUCCUGCUGCAUGGUGGGGGUUGGAAAGUUUCGGCGGUUGGGGCUGGACUCGCGGCUUAUCAGCUUGUUGGUGGGGUAGUGGCUUACCAAGGCUUUGACGGGUAGCCGGCCUGAGAGGGUGACCGGCCACAUUGGGACUGAGAUACGGCCCAGAAUGCUACGGGAGGCAGCAGUGGGGAAUAUUGCGCAAUGGGCGGAAGCCUGAUGCAGCAACGCCGCGUGCGGGAUAACGGCCUUCGGGUUGUAAACCGCUUUCGCAUGUGACGAAGCGUGAGUGACGGUAAUGGGUAAAGAAGCACCGGCUAACUACGUG
RNAcentral lists this ribosomal RNA (468 nucleotides) under uncultured bacterium. RNAcentral describes it as "partial 16S ribosomal RNA". It matches the Rfam family "Bacterial small subunit ribosomal RNA", at positions 28 to 507 of the family's 1533-position model. The record is from RNAcentral.